AGGCUGAUUCAUAAUGAGUGGUGGUUGGUGCAGUAAGGAACUGGCUGAGUUGUUGAGUGACAAAAGCAAUGUCUGGUCUUGUGGUAGUAAGAUAUAUGAGCUUUCCUACCAAUCUUCUGUAACUGAGAAUAUCAGUAAAUGGCUUGCUAGUGUCUUGAUGCAAUUUAAUGGAAGGAUCAAGAGGUGUUGGUAAAGGUUUGGAACCAAGUAGGC
This 213-nucleotide long non-coding RNA is filed under the name Medicago truncatula (barrel medic). RNAcentral's name for it is "long non-coding RNA (MTRU_LNC008399)". The record is from RNAcentral. Lineage: Eukaryota; Viridiplantae; Streptophyta; Magnoliopsida; Fabales; Fabaceae.